This is a non-coding RNA of Prunus avium (sweet cherry), 1785 nucleotides long. NCBI's taxonomy places the organism in Eukaryota, Viridiplantae, Streptophyta, Magnoliopsida, Rosales, Rosaceae. The record is from RefSeq and is a predicted model, not a curated record.
UGAAUUAAAGGAGUUUUUAACAUUUUUUAUUUUUUAUUAUUUUUUUCACCCUUCACUUUACAGAAACCCAAGCACAUGAGAAGUUUUGUUUCCCGUAUCUUCAACUGGCUCUUUGCCUAACUCCUCCCCUUCCUCCUCCCUUAUGUUCUCCCUAAUCUGUCAAAAUAAACCAGAGUUUUCCAAUCUACCAGCGACAAAAAAAUUAACCACUAUUUUCUAUUACUUUGCCUACCUAUAAGUGCAAUCCAUCAUUGCACAAACCACCUGCCAAUGCCAUGUCCCAAUCUUUGAAAUUUGAUUUCUGAAAACGAAAUCAAAAGUCUAGUUAUAAUUAUGAAAAUACAGAUUCAACAUCUUCAAACAUAACCUCCACCAGUCAAAUCAUCACCACCAACACAGACAAUUAAACCCACUCAAAUCAUAACCACCACCUAACCAGCAUAGCCAACUCAAUAGCCAUACCAGAUGGUACCCAAAUAUGGUACAAAUAGAUGGUCUCCCUAGCAUAUUACCCAAAAUAUUUAUAUUACUAUGCACAGUAAUUCAAGUACCAUACUGAUAAAUCACAUAUUACCAUAUCUAAAAUACGUAAUACUUUUGAGGUGUCCCUAAUAGUAUGGGCAACUGCAAAACAUUUUUUUAUAUUUUUUUUUAUACUUAAUUAAUUUAAACAUAUUUUUAUUGUACCAAUUUCUGUUUAUUUAAUAAAAUAUCUUCACUUUUAACUUUCUUAUUCGCCAAGUGGAAUUUAUGGGGUUUUAAAUGUUUCAACCUUCUACCUUUAUAUAGAUAGAUAAAUACAGAAAAAUCAAAACAAUUUCGUAUUACAAUUUUUACAUGUAUGUAAUUUAUCAUAUGGGACAUAAAAUGGAAAAAAAAAAGGUGAAAACAUAUAAAUAAAAUGUUAGUUAUACUAAUAAAUAUCCUUCAAGUUUUUGGCUUUUUCACAAAAAACUCAUGAGGUUUUUGAAAUUACACAGACACCUUCUAAGAUUUCAAAUUAUUUUCACAAAACCCUCUGAGGUUUUCCCAAAACCUCUUUUCGUUAACUGUUGGUCCAAAACUUGAUGAUUUCAUUUAAAAAGGCGUGUGCAAAUGACAAAAUCAACCAUGGUAAAAAUAAAAUGCAAGGGUAAAGUUGGAAAGUAAAUAAUUUUCGUUUAAGGAGCUGUUGCCAGCUGGGGUCCGUACGCGGGUUUUUGGUGAAACCCGAUCGAUCGAUGCGAAUUUAAAUACUAGUCGGUAGUUGAAAUGAAAAGCCAUUCUCUGUUUUGUUUUCUUCAAUUUGGCGCCUUAGCUUCGUCGUUUUCACGCACAGUGAGAUACAGGGAAAAAUGAGUUCGAGUUCAUGGAGCAACAUCUUCUGGAACCUUCUUGGAGAACAAAAUUCGUUCUGAGAAAGCCUAAUUGGGAGAAUUUGGAUAUAUUUAUACCCAAUCGGGCGGCACUGGACCUUGAUUACGUGCAUUACAUGGUCACAGGAAGGAGAAAAGGAAUCAAGAACCCAUGAGCUGCAAGCUCAACAUAUCAGAAGCUACUGACUGAGACCUUCAACAUGAACCGAGCACGAAUCUUCACAUUCAAGAACAAACUGCCAACCCCAGUUGAAGCCAUUCCAAGGAGAUUGCCUUCACCCCUCUUCAUAAGGCCAAAUCUAUCAAGCCCUGUCAAAGGAUUCCUAAGGUAUAAUUGCACUAAUAUCAUCAAACUUGAAUUUGGAUUGUGGACUCUUGAAUUCCUUGUGAGAAUGUGAAGGUUGAAUUCCUUGUGAGAAUGUGAAGGUGA